This 298-nucleotide long non-coding RNA is filed under the name Panax ginseng (ginseng). RNAcentral's name for it is "long non-coding RNA (PGIN_LNC003887)". The record is from RNAcentral. Lineage: Eukaryota; Viridiplantae; Streptophyta; Magnoliopsida; Apiales; Araliaceae.
UUAGGGUUUGUCCUAAUUAUCGACAAACAACAGUAAUUAGGGUUUUCUUCUAAUUACCGACAUCUUAUACACAGUAACCUUCAUAUACACAGUAAACUUCAUAUACACAGUCACUACUCAGUCAUAUCUCAUAACUGAGUUUAAUAAUUAGGGUUUCACAGCACGGUAAUAUGCUAUGACCUAAUUGACCGUCAUUGCUCAAUAUUAUAUGUCCGCACAUACACAGUACAUAAUUAUUGUACUGUAAAAUCAUUAUAACAAUAAUAUAAUAUUAUUAUUCUCAUCUCUUGAUCACAAU